UGGGGAAUAUUGGGCAAUGGGGGCAACCCUGACCCAGCAACGCCGCGUGAAGGAAGAAGGCUUUCGGGUUGUAAACUUCUUUUACCAGGGACGAAGCAGUGACUGUACCUGGAGAAUAAGCCACGGCUAACUACGUGCCAGCAGCCGCGGUAAUACGUAGGUGGCAAGCGUUGUCCGGAUUUACUGGGUGUAAAGGGCGCGUAGGCGGGAGCGCAAGUCGGAUGUGAAAUCUAUGGGCUUAACCCAUAAACUGCAUUUGAAACUGUGCUUCUUGAGUACUGGAGAGGCAGGCGGAAUUCCUAGUGUAGCGGUGAAAUGCGUAGAUAUUAGGAGGAACACCAGUGGCGAAGGCGGCCUGCUGGACAGCAACUGACGCUGAGGCGCGAAAGCGU
This 392-nucleotide ribosomal RNA is filed under the name uncultured Clostridium sp. RNAcentral's name for it is "bacterial SSU rRNA". It matches the Rfam family "Bacterial small subunit ribosomal RNA", at positions 355 to 762 of the family's 1533-position model. The record is from RNAcentral. Lineage: Bacteria; Bacillati; Bacillota; Clostridia; Eubacteriales; Clostridiaceae.